This 292-nucleotide ribosomal RNA is filed under the name uncultured bacterium. RNAcentral describes it as "partial 16S ribosomal RNA". It matches the Rfam family "Bacterial small subunit ribosomal RNA", at positions 505 to 796 of the family's 1533-position model. The record is from RNAcentral.
GUGUCAGCCGCCGCGGUAAUACGGAGGUGGCAAGCGUUGUUCGGAAUUAUUGGGCGUAAAGGGCGCGUAGGCGGCUUUGCAAGUCAGAUGUGAAAGCCCCGGGCUUAACUCGGGAAUUGCAUCUGAAACUGCUUAGCUUGAGUCCUGGAGGGGGUAGUGGAAUUCCCAGUGUAGCGGUGAAAUGCGUAGAUAUUGGGAGGAACACCUGCGGCGAAGGCGGCUACCUGGACAGUGACUGACGCUGAGGCGCGAAAGCUAGGGGAGCGAACGGGAUUAGAAACCCUCGUAGUCC